UCGGCGAACGACAGGAAUCUCGCGAAAGAUGUGUCAUCGGAGUCAGAGCGAUCGUGCUCAGCUGAUACCCGGAGGGAGUUUCACCCGCAGCCAGCUCGGUGUCUCAGUCUCGUAGAGUUCAAUAUUUCCACGAAAAAUUCCUUCAGACAAGAGCAACGAUCAGAAGCAAAAUGGCGCGAAAUUACGCGCAAACGAAUAAUUAUAUUACACGCGACAUGGAGUGGCACAAAUUACAAAAAGCUACGUACACAUAGUUUCACGAAUCUCACAAAAAUAAUUGAAUAAUAAAUGGAGACGAAAUUUUCCAUAUUAUAUGGUCAUCUUUUUAUUAAGAUACACAAAUGUUUUCUUUCUAUCUUAAACCUAAACUUUAGUAGCAAAAAAAAGAAUAAGAACGUCUUCGUAAAUACCACAUUAUGAUUCAAUGAAAUAAAACUGCUCUUUGUGAAAGAAAACAUGAUAACAGCAGACUGAAAUUGUCAAAUAAAAGAGAUAUAGUCAAAUAUAAUCAAAUAUAACGAAAUGUUACUUGUGACUACUGUCUACUGCUUAAAAUAAUAGUCAAAUCAUAUAACGACCAAAAGUGGCCUUGCUCUGCAACAAGAUCGCAUGUAUAAAGCUGUAUGUAAAUUAAAAUUUGUACGAAGAC
Long non-coding RNA from Vollenhovia emeryi, 649 nucleotides. RefSeq lists it as uncharacterized. The transcript is spliced from 2 exons. The record is from RefSeq and is a predicted model, not a curated record. Lineage: Eukaryota; Metazoa; Arthropoda; Insecta; Hymenoptera; Formicidae.